UACGUAGGGGGCUAGCGUUGUCCGGAUUUAUUGGGCGUAAAGAGCGUGUAGGCGGCCAGGUAGGUCUGCUGUGAAAACUCGAGGCUCAACCUCGAGACGUCGGCGGAAACCAUCUGGCUAGAGUCCGGAAGAGGAGAGUGGAAUUCCUGGUGUAGCGGUGAAAUGCGCAGAUAUCAGGAAGAACACCCGUGGCGGAGGCGGCUCUCUGGGACGGUACUGACGCUGAGACGCGAAAGCGUGGGGAGCGAACAGG
This 253-nucleotide ribosomal RNA is filed under the name uncultured bacterium. Its description in RNAcentral is "partial 16S ribosomal RNA". It matches the Rfam family "Bacterial small subunit ribosomal RNA", at positions 524 to 776 of the family's 1533-position model. The record is from RNAcentral.